GAUGAAGAACGUAGCGAAAUGCGAUAAGUAAUGCGAAUUGCAGAAUUUCCGUGAGUCAUCGAAUCUUUGAACGCACAUUGCGCCCACUGGUAUUCCGGUGGGCAUGCCUGUUCGAGCGUCAUUAUCCUCCCUCAAACCUCGGGUUUGGUGUUGGACCCAAGUUGUGUGAACAACUGGUCUUAAAGACAAUGACGGCGUCCGUGGGACCCUCGGUGCAACGAGCUUUUAGGAGCACGCGUCGAGUGUCAAGGACCUUCCGGGCCGGUCUCCUUUACCAUUUUACAAGGUUGACCUCGGAUCAGGUAGGAAUACCCGCUGAACUUAAGCAUAUCAAUAAGCGGAGGA
Molecule: unclassified non-coding RNA, 345 nt
Filed under: soil metagenome
Description: partial contains 5.8S ribosomal RNA, internal transcribed spacer 2, and large subunit ribosomal RNA
Rfam family: 5.8S ribosomal RNA (bases 1-121)
Source: RNAcentral